AAGGGUAUAGCUCAGUGGUAGAGCUCUUGCUUAACAUGCACGAGGUCCUGGGUUCAAUCCCCAGUACUUCUG
RNAcentral lists this transfer RNA (72 nucleotides) under Camelus ferus (Wild Bactrian camel). It matches the Rfam family "tRNA". Rfam says of the family: Transfer RNA (tRNA) molecules are approximately 80 nucleotides in length. The record is from Rfam by way of RNAcentral. Lineage: Eukaryota; Metazoa; Chordata; Mammalia; Artiodactyla; Camelidae.